AGGAAUGCGACGAUCAGGAGAAGUACAACAGUCUGCACAUCUACAGAGAGGAUGGAUAGGUGAGAGCCAUCUGAUGUGUCCUGUAUGGAAAUGCCCCUGUGAGCAAUGAGCUGAACCUAUCUUUUUGAAAAGAUAUCAGUAGGCGUCAUCGGCCUCCCGCCGUUAUCGGGAUAUGAGCGAGAUCGUUCGAGGUUGUUUGUUAUGUCUUUGCAGCCAAGACGAUCUAAGCAGAGUGGAACCACGGUAAACCCGUCUCUGUC
Molecule: non-coding RNA, 260 nt
Filed under: Brevibacillus brevis
Lineage: Bacteria; Bacillati; Bacillota; Bacilli; Caryophanales; Paenibacillaceae
Description: T-box sequence
Rfam family: T-box leader
About the family: Uncharged tRNA acts as the effector for transcription antitermination of genes in the T-box leader family. T-boxes are found upstream of many aminoacyl-tRNA synthetase genes and some amino acid biosynthetic genes usually in Gram-positive bacteria.
Source: RNAcentral